Long non-coding RNA from Cygnus olor (mute swan), 2864 nucleotides. RefSeq lists it as uncharacterized. The record is from RefSeq and is a predicted model, not a curated record. NCBI's taxonomy places the organism in Eukaryota, Metazoa, Chordata, Aves, Anseriformes, Anatidae. The transcript is spliced from 2 exons.
UGUAAUUAGUGUCAUAGGACUGUGAGUAUCUCUCUUCCUUCUCUCUUCGAAUCCUCCCCACCCUGGCAAAGAUGAGUACUGUGUGCCCAUCGCUCCUUCUUACCAGCCAGCAGACCUGGCUUCAGGCAGCUUGAGGUCUUCUGCCUGGAGAGCUGCUGCACAGCCCGGGGGAUGUUGUAGCUAGUGCAAGUAACAAGAAGACGGCACUGCUGUAGCAUCCAUCUCUCUUUGAAGAUGUGGUCAAGAGUUACUGAGGCUGCACGUUUUCCUCGAGCUCUCUAAAAGCCUGUUUCUCCUUCCUGCGUUUAAUUCACCUUGGCUUUUAUUGCCUACAGAAAGUGCAGAAAGUGGCUGUGGAGGAGUCGCUGCAACCACUCGGUGUCAGCCCCAGCUGCGUUCCAUGGUGUUGUCCCGAAAGGUCGGGUCCAGCCAUGCUUGGCCCUGGGGAAGUGGCUCCAGAUGCUUGAGGUCUGAGAGCAGCUCUCCAAACCUCUCAGCCUGUAGUGGGGAACGUCACCGAGAUGCUUCCUGCUCCUUACACAGCCUGGAGAGGAUGAGGAACCGCAGGGAUGCACAGGGGCCGUGCUUACCCGCUGUGGACAGCCGGUGGCAUGCGUUCUGCUCGAGGACAUCCUGCCCUUGGGCACCUGCUGCAGUGGCAGCAGGGAUGCCCAGCCCUGUGCCACUGGGCAAUUGGAAAGGGCUUAAGGGGUCUCCCAGGCAUGCACAUUCUUGGUGGCUCUUGAAGAUGAGGGGGAACCCUCGCUGGGGUGCUCCUGAAAUCUCCCUGCAUCUCCAUCCUUUCCCAGCCUCUCUUCUGCUUCCUCUCAGCCCAUGUCCCUGGCUGCCCUCCCUGUGGCCAUGCCCGUAUAGUGUUGGUGUGCUCCCCGGUGACCCUACCAUCCGUCUGCAGGCCGUGCCCCCACCUUAGGGGUUUUCUGCCUCCAGCCCUGCCUGUCCUGCUGCUUGCCAAGGGGCUGAGGCUGGUUUUAUCAGCCCCAAGCAGUCACAGUCCAGGAGAAGCCAGCAGGAACUAUAAAAGAUUUGGGCUGUCCUUCCCAAAUGGACUGAGCGCUGCUUUGCAGGUCCUUUCCUUGCACAAGAGGGAAGUGCCAUCUUUUCUUACCCCUCCUUUCCCUCUGUCCCAGCCCUUAGUGGUGUGAAAGACUCGUGCAGCCCUCCCGAAAUCUGGCACGAAUUCCUUCGAGGACCUGACCCCACAGAGCGCUGCUUUUCCGGCUGCUUUUCACUGGUGUUUCUCCUUGCCCUUUGAGCGGGCAUUCUGCAACCAUUAAUGCAUGCUAAUGAGGCGUUCAAUGCCAUGGCAGAAUUAAAGAAUAAAGUGGUGACACGUACAUCUUUGCAGGAGCCAGAGCUCUGGCUGAGGGUCUGCUCUUAAAGCAGCAGCGAGAGGUGACAUCUGAUGGCACAUGCACCUACCCAAACCCUGUGUGUAGGCACAGCCACCCCCAUGGCCCGUAACCUUGUGUCUUGGGGUUAGGAAGCUCCAAAAUAAAAAACAAUACAGACUCUGAACAAAAACCGUGUCACGCAUUUGCUCCCCAGAGAGAGACAGUGUGCUGGGAUGGUCUCGCUUCAGUGCUCUGCUUUUACGGCCAGCUCAUUUGAUGUUUGCAUUUGGCCUUUCUGAUUACAGUAAUUUACAGAAAUAAACUUUGGGAGAUGAAUGCUGUAUUUUGGGUUUAGAGGCAAAUGAAGGACUAAAACAAGCAGCUUCUUUGGGAAGGGAGAAAUCCAUUCCAAAACCAUGGACCUUCAGUGAACUUGCACCAGAUUAUGUGUUUGCAUCCAAACGCAGAACUGGGCAAGGCUCCCGCGGCACUGGAUUUUGCAGAGAAAGAAUGUCUCUUUGCUCUGGAGACCACUCCUCAUGAUGAGGUCCAGCUGAAAGGACAUUCAGCCCAUUCGUGCCACAGUAGGUUGGGAAUUAGCCUGCUUUUCAUUUUAAGGAUGACUUGAACCAUUUGGCCCCAAAGUUCAGGCAUUUGGGAUCCUGCGGCUUUGUUUUGGAGCCAACUUAUAUUUUAGGAAUGAAUCUGGGGGGUUGGGUGUUGUUUUUUUUGUGUGCGCGUGCUUGAGAUAAGUCCAUCCCUGCUGGCCUGCCAUGCUGUGCCUGCAAAGGGUUGGGCCAAGGAGCACGUAAGCAGGGAGAAGCAGCUGGUCACGGAUCUCACGGCAUCUGCAGCAAGAGGUUCUGCACAUCGUAGAAGCGGAUCUCAUUCAUUAUGUGAUAGCAGAUGAAGUUCCCUGAAUGCUCCCAUGGUGCUGGAGAGUUGGCUUUUGUCAGCCUUUGGUGGCAAGUGCAGGAGUGUUGUGGUGGGAGAGGUGUCAGCGCAUCCCAUGGGAGACCUGUGGAGACCUGCAGCAAGGGGAAUGGAGAUUUCUGGAAGCAGGCAGUGGCACCAGCCCUCUUAGAGUUAGAGGGUUGGAGGGAAACACAGGAGGGGGAAAAAAAAUGGGGCUCCCCUCCCCACUUCCCAUCUGCCUUUAGGAAUAGUAUGAAUUAUUAGCCAUUUUUGCAGUGCCUUCCAUGUCAGGUCCUUAAGGGGUGAUGAAGCCAUGGAUGUACCCGAUUUGGCUGGGUGUUAUUUCAACACACAGCUCUAAGGGAACCAGCACACCCAUCCCAGUUUCCUCCUCUUGUUUCUGGGAGGGUCUGGCAGCCCCAUAUCUCUCCCUGCAUUGGUAGCAGAGUCGGCAGCAGGACCCAAAAGCUCCAAUUCCCAGCUCGGGGUCUCCAUCCAAAAGGCCACGUGUGGCAGGCUCAGCCGAGGCAGUUGUGUAAGCAAAAGCCGAGAGGUUUGCGGCGUGCUGAGGUUGCUUAAACAAAAAAUAAAUAAGUU